UACGGGGGGGGCAAGCGUUGUUCGGAAUUACUGGGCGUAAAGGGCUCGUAGGCGGCCAACUAAGUCAGACGUGAAAUCCCUCGGCUUAACCGGGGAACUGCAUCUGAUACUGGAUGGCUUGAGUUCGGGAGAGGGGUGCGGAAUUCCAGGUGUAGCGGUGAAAUGCGUAGAUAUCUGGAGGAACACCGGUGGCGAAGGCGACAUCCUGGACCGGUAUUGACGCUGAGGCGCGAAAGCCAGGGGAGCAAACGGG
This 253-nucleotide ribosomal RNA is filed under the name uncultured bacterium. Its description in RNAcentral is "partial 16S ribosomal RNA". It matches the Rfam family "Bacterial small subunit ribosomal RNA", at positions 524 to 776 of the family's 1533-position model. The record is from RNAcentral.